UCUAAGUAGUAAUUGCUUCUGGGAAACUACUUCAUCCGCCAGAUCUGAUCUAGAAGAGACAUGUCUUCCACAACUGGAUCAAGGAAGGGAGGAUUCAUCAGUAAAUCUCCUUCAGUCAUGGAAGACGAAUAAAGUCCACCAAGAUUAGAAUAUCUGCUCAUAUCUGCCUGGUCCUCAAAAUUUUCAUCAGGAUCUAUCUCCUCAGGUGCAAGAGUAGGGUCAUAGGAAGGUAGGAAAGUAGGUGGCAUAAUGAGCACAAGACUCUGGUUCCCAUCUCCUAGGUCUACGACACUGACACCAUUUUCCAGAUUCUGAACAGUCUGAGAAUGUAACUCUGAAUCUUGAGACUGCUCCUGAAUGAACUGAGUGGCCAUCUGCCC
RNAcentral lists this long non-coding RNA (380 nucleotides) under Vigna radiata. Its description in RNAcentral is "long non-coding RNA (VRAD_LNC001840)". The record is from RNAcentral. Lineage: Eukaryota; Viridiplantae; Streptophyta; Magnoliopsida; Fabales; Fabaceae.